This 1462-nucleotide long non-coding RNA is filed under the name Marmota monax (woodchuck). Lineage: Eukaryota; Metazoa; Chordata; Mammalia; Rodentia; Sciuridae. The record is from RNAcentral.
AAAAUAAAUUUAAAGUUGAAAGCAUCUAGGCAAUCUCUAAUUUUAAAAAAAAAAAUCAUCUUGCUCAGUCAAGAAAAAAGCCCACACAGGUAAUUCUUUUUUAAUGAUAAAAAGUUAACCACCCAUGCGAGAGCAAUGUAGAUAGAACAUCUCUGAUUGUACCACUAGUUCUCUUCACUACUCUCCAUGACACACUGAUCCAGAACCUAGAAUACUGUGUUUCGUCACCUGUGGCUUUCAAGUGAUCAUCAUCAAAUAGUUUCUUAAAAUGAAAGAGACAGAUAAUUGAUUAGGAUUUCAUGGGUCUUGGCUCUCACCAAAGUGCUGCUUCAUGUUUCUUAGUCACAUGAAACAUGUUUAUACUUUGUGAUGUCACCAAAUCAUGUGGCAUGGCAAAGAGAUUCAAGAAUAGAAAGAGGCCCUGGGUUCAAUUCCCAGUGCUGCCAAUAAACAAACAAACAAACAAAAGAACAAAUAAAUAAAUAAAAUUUAAGCUAGAACAAUUUUCAGAUGCACAAAGAGAUAAAAAUAAGCAGAAACCCAAAUUGUACAAAUCACUUGGCCAAAUACCCUUUGAAGUGACGUGUGGACCAGAGUAAAUAGGAAUCACUGUAUAUCAUUAGUGCAAAAUGGAACCUUAAAACAAGCUGGAUAGGACCCAGUUCUAUGGGGCCGAAAUGCAAAUGGGAGUUAAAAUUCUAUCUGCAGACACAUUGAUCAGGGCUGUGGAGAGUGGCUACUUACAAGGGAAAAACACUACUAUUCCCUGUGUUUCAAUGCUAGUUUUUGUUUUGUUUUAUUUUGUGGUGCUGGGGAUUGAACCCAGGGGUUUAGUGCAUGCAAGGCAAGCACUCUACCAACUGAGCUAAAUCCUCAGCCCUCAACGCUAGUUUCUUCUGCAAGAUCUCCAGUUCACUGGUCAGGUCAGCUUUAUUUUAAUACUCUUCCUAAUUUGUUAGAACAAUAACACAAGGAGUAGGAUUAGGGAGAAACUUUUUAGAGGAUUGUCGGAAAAGCUCAUUUCAUGAAAAUAAAAGGCUGACUGUGUCAGUAUUGUUUGUACCACACAUAUGUGCCGUUCAUUUUUGUUCUUUUGUUGAUUAUCACAACAGACCAGCUCGCUUAGGAUAAGGCUGUAUGAGAGAGGUGACUACAGAGCCCUGGUGUCUGAGCUCAGGGAAGACUGCUUCUGAAUCCACAAUCGCUACCCUCUCAAGGAGAUUUACUCCGUCCAUGUGUUGGAGGGCUGCUGGGUCCUCUACAAGAUGCCCAACUACAGGGGGCAGCAGUACCUGCUCAGGCUAGGAGACUACAGGUGCUACCACGACUGGGGCACAAUGGACGCCAAAGUCGGCUCUCGGAGACGGGUCAUCCAUUUGUAUGAAGCAGUGCUUUUCUUUAUGAUCCACAUAGAGAUGCAAUAAAUAAACUUUUUUUCUGGCACUAAGUGGCUUGCUUAUCA